CAUUACUAGAAAUGAGGGCCUCGGUGACCGAGUGUUCUAAGUAGUUACUACUGUAAUCAGUAGCCACUCAACACUGAGGUUGUGAGUUCGAACCCCGCUCGUGUUGGUGCACUCGACUCCAAUCUUUUUUUACUAGGAUUGUCAGUUUGAAUGUCGAUGGUUUUCUCCGGGCACUCUGACUCCCACCGCCAAUAAAAACUGCCCGCCCCACGAAAUAGCCCAAAAGCAGUGCACAAAUGUGGCGCUAAAAACACAAAGGAAAAAUAGAAAAAAAAAGAAAUUAAAUAGUACUAGAAAUGGACUUUUGAUUAUAUUCAUGUUAUACUGUAUACCAUUGUUACUAGAUAAAGA
RNAcentral lists this long non-coding RNA (351 nucleotides) under Mytilus galloprovincialis (Mediterranean mussel). Lineage: Eukaryota; Metazoa; Mollusca; Bivalvia; Mytilida; Mytilidae. The record is from RNAcentral.